AGUGAACGCUGGCGGUAGGCCUAACACAUGCAAGUCGAACGGCAGCACAGUAAGAGCUUGCUCUUACGGGUGGCGAGUGGCGGACGGGUGAGGAAUACAUCGGAAUCUACUUUUUCGUGGGGGAUAACGUAGGGAAACUUACGCUAAUACCGCAUACGACCUACGGGUGAAAGCAGGGGAUCUUCGGACCUUGCGCGAUUGAAUGAGCCGAUGUCGGAUUAGCUAGUUGGCGGGGUAAAGGCCCACCAAGGCGACGAUCCGUAGCUGGUCUGAGAGGAUGAUCAGCCACACUGGAACUGAGACACGGUCCAGACUCCUACGGGAGGCAGCAGUGGGGAAUAUUGGGCAAUGGGCGCAAGCCUGAUCCAGCCAUACCGCGUGGGUGAAGAAGGCCUUCGGGUUGUAAAGCCCUUUUGUUGGGAAAGAAAAGCAGCAGGUUAAUAACCCGCUGUUCUGACGGUACCCAAAGAAUAAGCACCGGCUAACUUCGUG
RNAcentral lists this ribosomal RNA (492 nucleotides) under uncultured bacterium. RNAcentral describes it as "partial 16S ribosomal RNA". It matches the Rfam family "Bacterial small subunit ribosomal RNA", at positions 29 to 507 of the family's 1533-position model. The record is from RNAcentral.